CAGGCCUAACACAUGCAAGUCGAGCGAGAAGCUUAUGAAUGAAACUUCGGUUGAGUGAUUAAGCGGAAAGCGGCGGACGGGUGAGUAACGCGUAGGCAACCUGCCCCAUACAGAGGGAUAGCCUCGGGAAACCGGGAUUAAAACCUCAUAAUGUGAAAGAUGCACCUGUAUCUUUCGCCAAAGGUUUAUCGGUAUGGGAUGGCCUGCGUCUGAUUAGCUAGUUGGUGGGGUAACAGCCUACCAAGGCAACGAUCAGUAGCCGACCUGAGAGGGUAAUCGGCCACAUUGGAACUGAGACACGGUCCAAACUCCUACGGGAGGCAGCAGUGGGGAAUAUUGCACAAUGGGCGAAAGCCUGAUGCAGCAACGCCGCGUGAGCGAUGAAGGCCUUUGGGUCGUAAAGCUCUGUCCUAGGGGAAGAAAAAAAUGACGGUACCCUUGGAGGAAGCCCCGGCUAACUACGUGCCAGCAGCCGCGGUAAUACGUAGGGGGCGAGCGUUAUCCGGAAUUAUUGGGCGUAAAGAGUGCGUAGGUGGUUUCAUAAGCGCGGGGUGAAAGGCAAUGGCUCAACCAUUGUAAGCCUUGCGAACUGUGAGACUUGAGUGCAGGAGAGGAAAGUGGAAUUCCUAGUGUAGCGGUGAAAUGC
RNAcentral lists this ribosomal RNA (646 nucleotides) under uncultured bacterium. Its description in RNAcentral is "bacterial SSU rRNA". It matches the Rfam family "Bacterial small subunit ribosomal RNA", at positions 43 to 689 of the family's 1533-position model. The record is from RNAcentral.